UACAGAGGUCCCAAGCGUCGUUCGGAUUCACUGGGCGUAAAGGGUGCGUAGGCGGCUUUGCAAGUCUGAUGUGAAAUCUCCGGGCCUAACCCGGAAAUGGCAUUAGAAACUGCAGGGCUGGAGGCUUGGAGGGGGAACUGGAAUGCUUGGUGUAGCAGUGAAAUGCGUAGAUAUCAAGCGGAACACCAGUGGCGAAGGCGAGUUCCUGGACAAGACCUGACGCUGAGGCACGAAAGCCGGGGGAGCAAACAGG
This 253-nucleotide ribosomal RNA is filed under the name uncultured bacterium. RNAcentral's name for it is "partial 16S ribosomal RNA". It matches the Rfam family "Bacterial small subunit ribosomal RNA", at positions 524 to 776 of the family's 1533-position model. The record is from RNAcentral.